UAUGUUUGUGUGUGUGUGUGUGUGUGUGUGUGUGUGCAUAUAUGCACACACACACACACACACACAUACACAUAUGCACACACACAUA
This 88-nucleotide microRNA precursor is filed under the name Mustela putorius furo (domestic ferret). RNAcentral's name for it is "miRNA (ENSMPUG00000020303.1)". The record is from RNAcentral. Lineage: Eukaryota; Metazoa; Chordata; Mammalia; Carnivora; Mustelidae.